Molecule: ribosomal RNA, 693 nt
Filed under: Bacillus thuringiensis
Lineage: Bacteria; Bacillati; Bacillota; Bacilli; Caryophanales; Bacillaceae
Description: bacterial LSU rRNA
Rfam family: Bacterial large subunit ribosomal RNA
Source: RNAcentral
CUUAUCGACCCGGGAGACAGUGUCAGUGGGCAGUUUGACUGGGGCGGUCGCCUCCUAAAGUGAACGGAGGGGGCCAAAGGUUCCCUCAGAAUGGUUGGAAAUCAUUCGUAGAGUGCAAAGGCAUAAGGGAGCUUGACUGCGAGACCUACAAGUCGAGCAGGGACGAAAGUCGGGCUUAGUGAUCCGGUGGUUCCGCAUGGAAGGGCCAUCGCUCAACGGAUAAAAGCUACCCCGGGGAUAACAGGCUUAUCUCCCCCAAGAGUCCACAUCGACGGGGAGGUUUGGCACCUCGAUGUCGGCUCAUCGCAUCCUGGGGCUGUAGUCGGUCCCAAGGGUUGGGCUGUUCGCCCAUUAAAGCGGUACGCGAGCUGGGUUCAGAACGUCGUGAGACAGUUCGGUCCCUAUCCGUCGUGGGCGUAGGAAAUUUGAGAGGAGCUGUCCUUAGUACGAGAGGACCGGGAUGGACGCACCGCUGGUGUACCAGUUGUUCUGCCAAGGGCAUAGCUGGGUAGCUAUGUGCGGAAGGGAUAAGUGCUGAAAGCAUCUAAGCAUGAAGCCCCCCUCAAGAUGAGAUUUCCCAUAGCGUAAGCUAGUAAGAUCCCUGAAAGAUGAUCAGGUUGAUAGGUUCGAGGUGGAAGCAUGGUGACAUGUGGAGCUGACGAAUACUAAUAGAUCGAGGACUUAACCAUAUAA